This 265-nucleotide ribosomal RNA is filed under the name uncultured bacterium. RNAcentral's name for it is "partial 16S ribosomal RNA". It matches the Rfam family "Bacterial small subunit ribosomal RNA", at positions 793 to 1055 of the family's 1533-position model. The record is from RNAcentral.
GUCCACGCCGUAAACGAUGAAUGCCAGCCGUUGGGGUGCAUGCACCUCAGUGGCGCAGCUAACGCUUUAAGCAUUCCGCCUGGGGAGUACGGUCGCAAGAUUAAAACUCAAAGGAAUUGACGGGGCCCGCACAAGCGGUGGAGCAUGUGGUUUAAUUCGAAGCAACGCGCAGAACCUUACCAGCUUUUGACAUGUCCGGUUUGAGGAACAGAGAUGUACCUCUUCAGUUCGGCUGGCCGGAACACAGGUGCUGCAUGGCUGUCGU